UUGAUUAUUUAAUAAUUUAAUUAGAUUUAAGUUAUUUAUUAACGAAAUCUUUGUUUAGCCUAUGUAAAUUCCGCGUGCUUUAACGUGCGCGCGCUGAACAUCGGAGUAGCGGUCCUUCAGAUUCAAACACUGGAGGAGGGAGUUGCCAUGGAAACGGGGCGACCGACAACACUGGCAAGCUGCAAGCUCCGUUUCUUGCUGCUGUUUUCACUGCUUUCGAAAUGGUGUAGUGUUUUCGAACAAGUCCGUAAGCAUCUUAACCGUUAUCAGAGGAGAUUCUUCCAUGAUUGAUGUUCUUCUGCAUCCCAGAGUCUGAGCAAACCUCCUGUCCAACAACAUCUCCAAGACACACUGAACCAUACGGCUAGCAACGACAAACACAUCGUGGACCAAAGAGGAAACUGACACCACACAGACAGACAAGACAGAGAUAGUUACUUCUGCCUCGCGUGUGAAGACUUCAGAAGAUGCCAGACCUCACAAAGAUUUCAGAUGAUGGCAACUAUAGAUGAACUUGCAAAGCUGCUUAAUAAUCCUUAUAUUGUAAUCAUUGCCCUAAAAGGACGGAUCUUAUCAGCAAAUCUACUUCACAGCACAUCAGUGAAAACAGUUGACAGUUACAGACGGGUGUGUUGGAUCAGGUUCAGAUCUGAAUUCUGAUGGUUUUCUGGGAUGACAGUUGAAGAUGAUCAGCACAUCAGAUGUUGGUCUGGACAGCUGUACCUACAGUACACCACAGUGACCUCGGUGCUUUUGCAUGGAUAGCUGACUACUACCAUGUUCUGUGAAGGUAUUAUUAUAGCAAACCUGAGCACCUGUGACAGUGGAAUAGUUGUAAUGAAUAGUCACACAUGCAUAUUGGUAAAUUUAAAGUCACAGAUAAUUUUUUUAGUACUAGCAAUAUUUUUAUUUUUAUUUUAAAUUUUUUACUAAUUCUCUCCAGCAAACACAACACAACAGUUACACCAUUUCAAAUUCUGAGGUGCACAAAUCCUAUUCUACAAAUAAGAGAACAACAGUAUAAAAGUGCUCAGUUUAGCCCCUUUCACACUGAGAUUCCAGAUGAUACACGGGUAAUUGUUCCCGGAUCGUUAGAUUUUGGUUCAUUCACACUGCCAGUGAGUGCGUUCACACACAACCCGUAAAGGUCCCAUAAUGAUACAAGACAUCAGGAUGUGAUGUGUAAUGUACGAGUUGAAAACGCUAGGCCGCCAAAAAACGGAAGAAGGAGAAGAAGCAAACCAGAAGUGUUUUCAAUACUUUAUAAACAUGGCAGCUGAUCAGCUACUGGGGCCAUUGUUGUUUAUGUAUAAAGCAUCUUCCACACAGAAAUUCCGGAAAAUACACCAAUAAUGUGUUCCAGGAUCGUUUGAUUGUGGUUCAUUCACACUGCCAGUAAUUUUCUGGAAUCUGUGUGUGCGUUCACACACAACCCAUAAAGAUCCCGUAAAGACACGCGACAUUACGAUGUGACGUGUUUUGUUUCACUUAAACUGGUGAACGAUCUCAGCUUCAGCACGGAUAGUGAGGAACUAACUGAUCUCUGCUUCAUUACAAUUUGCACAUUUUUUCGUCACGAAUGUUGAUCUGCCUUCAAAACACCUGCUAAAAGAGUCGCA
Molecule: long non-coding RNA, 1619 nt
Organism: Cyprinus carpio (common carp)
Lineage: Eukaryota; Metazoa; Chordata; Actinopteri; Cypriniformes; Cyprinidae
Exons: 7
Source: RefSeq, a predicted model, not a curated record